RNAcentral lists this ribosomal RNA (582 nucleotides) under Trichoderma atroviride. RNAcentral's name for it is "eukaryotic LSU rRNA". The stretch from base 205 to 358 matches the Rfam family "5.8S ribosomal RNA". The record is from RNAcentral. Lineage: Eukaryota; Fungi; Ascomycota; Sordariomycetes; Hypocreales; Hypocreaceae.
AUGCGGAGGGAUCAUUACGCGAGUUGUACAACUCCCAAACCCAAUGUGAACCAUACCAAACUGUUGCCUCGGCGGGGUCACGCCCCGGGUGCGUCGCAGCCCCGGAACCAGGCGCCCGCCGGAGGGACCAACCAAACUCUUUUCUGUAGUCCCCUCGCGGACGUUAUUUCUUACAGCUCUGAGCAAAAAUUCAAAAUGAAUCAAAACUUUCAACAACGGAUCUCUUGGUUCUGGCAUCGAUGAAGAACGCAGCGAAAUGCGAUAAGUAAUGUGAAUUGCAGAAUUCAGUGAAUCAUCGAAUCUUUGAACGCACAUUGCGCCCGCCAGUAUUCUGGCGGGCAUGCCUGUCCGAGCGUCAUUUCAACCCUCGAACCCCUCCGGGGGGUCGGCGUUGGGGACCUCGGGAGCCCCUAAGACGGGAUCCCGGCCCCGAAAUACAGUGGCGGUCUCGCCGCAGCCUCUCCUGCGCAGUAGUUUGCACAACUCGCACCGGGAGCGCGGCGCGUCCACGUCCGUAAAACACCCAACUUCUGAAAUGUUGACCUCGGAUCAGGUAGGAAUACCCGCUGAACUUAAGCAUAU